UCCAUAAUUUUUCCAGAUCAA
RNAcentral lists this microRNA (21 nucleotides) under Malus domestica (apple). RNAcentral describes it as "mdm-miR11016". Lineage: Eukaryota; Viridiplantae; Streptophyta; Magnoliopsida; Rosales; Rosaceae. The record is from miRBase by way of RNAcentral.